GACGAACGCUGGCGGCGUGCUUAACACAUGCAAGUCGAACGGAAAGGCCCUGCUUUUGUGGGGUGCUCGAGUGGCGAACGGGUGAGUAACACGUGAGUAACCUGCCCUUGACUUUGGGAUAACUUCAGGAAACUGGGGCUAAUACCGGAUAGGAGCUCCUGCUGCAUGGUGGGGGUUGGAAAGUUUCGGCGGUUGGGGAUGGACUCGCGGCUUAUCAGCUUGUUGGUGGGGUAGUGGCUUACCAAGGCUUUGACGGGUAGCCGGCCUGAGAGGGUGACCGGCCACAUUGGGACUGGGGUACGGGCCAGACUCCUACGGGAGGCAGCAGUGGGGAAUAUUGCACAAUGGGCGGAAGCCUGAUGCAGCAACGCCGCGUGCGGGAUGACGGCCUUCGGGUUGUAAACCGCUUUCGCCUGUGACGAAGCGUGAGUGACGGUAAUGGGUAAAGAAGCACCGGCUAACUACGUG
This 468-nucleotide ribosomal RNA is filed under the name uncultured bacterium. Its description in RNAcentral is "partial 16S ribosomal RNA". It matches the Rfam family "Bacterial small subunit ribosomal RNA", at positions 28 to 507 of the family's 1533-position model. The record is from RNAcentral.